This is a long non-coding RNA of Jatropha curcas, 614 nucleotides long. RefSeq lists it as uncharacterized. Lineage: Eukaryota; Viridiplantae; Streptophyta; Magnoliopsida; Malpighiales; Euphorbiaceae. The record is from RefSeq and is a predicted model, not a curated record.
UUCUUUUAGCUGGUGAUAGAGUGGGACCUUCUUCCUCCUUCACUCCUGGUGCUUAACAAGGCUAGAAUUAUCGGAUCUCUUUAUUGUUGCGUGGAAGUUGGAACGACUUGGAUCACCUGGAUCGAGAGCAUGGGCAUGGUGAGAAUGCCGUCAGUGGACCGUAAGCGAUGGUAGUGGCUCCCCCUUGUGUACCCCGGAUUAUGAUAUUUACCAUGGAAAAUUCUUAUGAUAAAUAAAAUUAUGAAAAAAAUUUACUUCUAACUAUGUUUUGCCCGAACGGGGGUGGACUUCCUGGGUACACAAGUCACAGGACCAUGGUAUUAUUUUAUUAAUAUUAAAGCAUACUUGGGGGACAGCAUGGUCCUGUUAAGGUAAUUCUAUCGACUAACGACCACCUGAUGUGCGUUAUGGUUGCUAUUAUUUGUGGAUGAUAUGAUUGAUAUUGUAUGGCUGAUGAAUGCUCAAUUAGAAAAGUCUAGGGACAUUUGUUUUGAUUGCUUGGGUUUAGUAUUAUGUAUUAUUAUUCACUAAGUUUUAUACUCAUUCCCGUUGUAUCUAAAUUUCUCAGGAAGAAGCUCUUUUUCCUCUUUUAACAAAAAACUCUUUUUUAUCUC